Molecule: ribosomal RNA, 251 nt
Filed under: uncultured prokaryote
Description: partial 16S rRNA
Rfam family: Bacterial small subunit ribosomal RNA
Source: RNAcentral
ACGUAGGGUGCAAGCGUUAUCCGGAAUUAUUGGGCGUAAAGAGCUCGUAGGCGGUUUGUCUCGUCUGUCGUGAAAGUCCGGGGCUCAACUCCGGAUCUGCGGUGGGUACGGGCAGACUAGAGUGAUGUAGGGGAGACUGGAAUUCCUGGUGUAGCGGUGGAAUGCGCAGAUAUCAGGAGGAGCACCGAUGGCGAAGGCAGGUCUCUGGGCAUGAACUGCCGCUGAGCAGCGAAAGCGUCGGGAGCGACCAG